UACGUAGGGUGCGAGCGUUGCCCGGAAUUAUUGGGCGUAAAGCGCUCGUAGGCGGUGUGUCACGUCGGCCGUGAAAACCUGCAGCUUAACUGUGGGCGUGCGGUCGAUACGGGCAUCACUGGAGUUCGGCAGGGGAGACUGGAAUUCCUGGUGUAGCGGUGAAAUGCGCAGAUAUCAGGAGGAACACCGGUGGCGAAGGCGGGUCUCUGGGCCGAUACUGACGCUGAGGAGCGAAAGCGUGGGGAGCAAACAGG
Molecule: ribosomal RNA, 254 nt
Filed under: uncultured bacterium
Lineage: Bacteria
Description: partial 16S ribosomal RNA
Rfam family: Bacterial small subunit ribosomal RNA
Source: RNAcentral